This 253-nucleotide ribosomal RNA is filed under the name uncultured Vampirovibrio sp. RNAcentral's name for it is "partial 16S ribosomal RNA". It matches the Rfam family "Bacterial small subunit ribosomal RNA", at positions 524 to 776 of the family's 1533-position model. The record is from RNAcentral. Lineage: Bacteria; Bacillati; Candidatus Melainabacteria; Vampirovibriophyceae; Vampirovibrionales; Vampirovibrionaceae.
GACGUAGGAUGCAAGCGUUGUCCGGAAUUAUUGGGCGUAAAGAGUUCGUAGGCGGUUGAUUAAGUCUGAUGUUAAAUACUGGUGCUCAACGCCAGCAUGGCAUUGGAAACUGGUCGACUAGAGUGUGGUAGAGGUUACGGGAAUUCCUGGUGUAGCGGUGAAAUGCGUAGAUAUCAGGAGGAACACCGGUGGCGAAAGCGCGUAACUGGGCCAUAACUGACGCUGAGGAACGAAAGCCAGGGUAGCAAAAGGG